RNAcentral lists this ribosomal RNA (504 nucleotides) under uncultured bacterium. RNAcentral's name for it is "partial 16S ribosomal RNA". It matches the Rfam family "Bacterial small subunit ribosomal RNA", at positions 30 to 523 of the family's 1533-position model. The record is from RNAcentral.
AUUGAACGCUGGCGGCAUGCCUUACACAUGCAAGUCGAACGGAAGAACGGGUGCUUGCACCUGGUGGCGAGUGGCGAACGGGUGAGGAAUACAUAGGAACGUACCUUAUAGUGGGGGAUAACAAAUUGAGAAAUUUGCUAAUAUCGCAUAAUACUCAGCGGAGGAAAGCGGGGGAUUCGUAAGAACCUCGUGAGAUUAGAGCGGCCGAUGGCUGAUUAGCUAGUCGGUGAGGUAAAGGCCCAACAAUGCAAAGAUCAGUAGCAGGUCUGAGAGGAUGAUCUGCACACUGGAACUGAGAAACGGUCCAGACUCCUACGGGAGGCAGCAGUGGGGAAUUUUGGACAAUGGGGGCAACCCUGAUCCAGCAAUGCCGCGUGAGUGAAGAAGGCCUUCGGGUUGUAAAGCUCUUUUGUCAGUGAAGAAAACUUUAAUAAUAACACUAUUAAAGCAUGACGGUAACUGAAGAAUAAGGACCAGCUAACUACGUGCCAGCCGCCGCAGUAA